RNAcentral lists this ribosomal RNA (252 nucleotides) under uncultured bacterium. Its description in RNAcentral is "partial 16S ribosomal RNA". It matches the Rfam family "Bacterial small subunit ribosomal RNA", at positions 524 to 776 of the family's 1533-position model. The record is from RNAcentral.
UACGGAGGGUGCAAGCGUUAUCCGGAUUCACUGGGUUUAAAGGGUGCGUAGGUGGGAAUGUAAGUCAGUGGUGAAAUCUCCGUGCUUAACACGGAACUGCCAUUGAUACUAUGUUUCUUGAAUUUUCUGGAGGUUAGCGGAAUAUGUCAUGUAGCGGUGAAAUGCUUAGAUAUGACAUAGAACACCAAUUGCGAAGGCAGCUAACUACAGGGAUAUUGACACUGAGGCGCGAAAGCGUGGGGAGCAAACAGG